AGAGUUUGAUCCUGGCUCAGGAUGAACGCUAGCGGCAGGCUUAACACAUGCAAGUCGAACGGUAACAUUAGUGCUUGCACUAGAUGACGAGUGGCGCACGGGUGCGUAACGCGUAUGCAACCUACCUCUAACAAAGGGAUAGCCCAGAGAAAUUUGGAUUAAUACCUUAUAAUAUUUUCAAUCGGCAUUGAUUGAAUCUUAAAGAUUUAUCGGUUAGAGAUGGGCAUGCGUGACAUUAGCUAGAUGGUGAGGUAACGGCUCACCAUGGCGACGAUGUCUAGGGGUUCUGAGAGGAAGAUCCCCCACACUGGUACUGAGACACGGACCAGACUCCUACGGGAGGCAGCAGUGAGGAAUAUUGGUCAAUGGACGCAAGUCUGAACCAGCCAUGCCGCGUGAAGGAUGACUGCCCUAUGGGUUGUAAACUUCUUUUAUAGAGGAAGAAACUUAUCUACGUGUAGAUAACUGACGGUACUCUACGAAUAAGGACCGGCUAACUCCGUGCCAGCAGCCGCGGUAAUACGGAGGGUCCAAGCGUUAUCCGGAUUUAUUGGGUUUAAAGGGUCCGUAGGCGGGGUUUUAAGUCAGUGGUGAAAUCCUACAGCUCAACUGUAGAACUGCCAUUGAAACUGAAACUCUUGAAUGUGCUUGAAGUAGGCGGAAUAUGUCAUGUAGCGGUGAAAUGCUUAGAUAUGACAUAGAACACCGAUAGCGAAGGCAGCUUACUAAGUCAUAAUUGACGCUGAUGGACGAAAGCGUGGGGAGCGAACAGGAUUAGAUACCCUGGUAGUCCACGCCGUAAACGAUGAUUACUAGCUAUUGGCGAUAUACAGUCAGUGGCAAAGCGAAAGUGUUAAGUAAUCCACCUGGGGAGUACGAUCGCAAGGUUGAAACUCAAAGGAAUUGACGGGGGCCCGCACAAGCGGUGGAGCAUGUGGUUUAAUUCGAUGAUACGCGAGGAACCUUACCAGGGCUUAAAUGUAUAUUGACAGGGUAGGAAACUACUUUUUCUUCGGACAAUUUACAAGGUGCUGCAUGGCUGUCGUCAGCUCGUGCCGUGAGGUGUUGGGUUAAGUCCCGUAACGAGCGCAACCCCUAUCUUUAGUUACCAGCGAGUUAUGUCGGGGACUCUAGAGAAACUGCCUGCGCAAGCAGCGAGGAAGGUGGGGACGAUGUCAAGUCAUCACGGCCCUUACGCCCUGGGCCACACACGUGCUACAAUGGUGAGUACAGAGGGCAGCUACCUGGUGACAGGAUGCGAAUCUCUAAAACUUAUCUCAGUUCGGAUUGGAGUCUGCAACUCGACUCUAUGAAGCUGGAAUCGCUAGUAAUCGCGUAUCAGCCAUGACGCGGUGAAUACGUUCCCGGGCCUUGUACACACCGCCCGUCAAACAAUGGAAGCUGGGAGUGCCUGAAGUCGGUAACCGCAAGGAGCCGCCUAGGGUAAAACUGGUAACUGGUGUUAAGUCGUAACAAGGUAGCCGUACCGGAAGGUGCGGCUG
This 1502-nucleotide ribosomal RNA is filed under the name hydrothermal vent metagenome. Its description in RNAcentral is "bacterial SSU rRNA". It matches the Rfam family "Bacterial small subunit ribosomal RNA". The record is from RNAcentral.